This 460-nucleotide ribosomal RNA is filed under the name uncultured bacterium. RNAcentral describes it as "partial 16S ribosomal RNA". It matches the Rfam family "Bacterial small subunit ribosomal RNA", at positions 338 to 795 of the family's 1533-position model. The record is from RNAcentral.
CCUACGGGUGGCAGCAGUGAGGAAUAUUGGUCAAUGGACGAGAGUCUGAACCAGCCAAGUAGCGUGAAGGAUGACUGCCCUAUGGGUUGUAAACUUCUUUUAUAUGGGAAUAAAACGUUCCACGUGUGGGAUUUUGUAUGUACCAUAUGAAUAAGGAUUGGCUAACUCCGUGCCAGCAGCCGCGGUAAUACGGAGGAUCCGAGCGUUAUCCGGAUUUAUUGGGGUUAAAGGGAGCGUAGGUGGAUUGUUAAGUCAGUUGUGAAAGUUUGCGGCUCAACCGUAAAAUUGCAGUUGAAACUGGCAGUCUUGAGUACAGUAGAGGUGGGCGGAAUUCGUAGUGUAGCGGUGAAAUGCUUAGAUAUCACGAAGAACUCCGAUUGCGAAGGCAGUUCACUGGACUGCAACUGACACUGAGGCUCGAAAGUGUGGGUAUCAAACAGGAUUAGAUACCCGUGUAGUC